GAGCGGAGGUAGAUGGAGCUUGCUCUAUGUACCUUAGCAGCGAACGGGUGAGUAACACGUAGAUAAUCUGUCCUAUAUUGGGGGAUAGCCCGAUGAAAGUUGGAUUAAUACCGCAUACAGCUAUAUAGUUGCAUGAUUAUAUAGUGAAAGAUUUAUUGAUAUAGGAGGAGUCUGCGGCACAUUAGCUAGUAGGUGAGGUAAGAGCUUACCUAGGCGACGAUGUGUAGCUGGUCUGAGAGGAUGAACGGCCACAAUGGAACUGAGACACGGUCCAUACUCCUACGGGAGGCAGCAGCGGGGAAUAUUGCACAAUGGGGGAAACCCUGAUGCAGCAACGCCGCGUGAGUGAAGAAGGUUUUCGGAUUGUAAAGCUCUGUUAGCAGGGAAGAGGAAGGACGGUACCUGCAGAGGAAGCCACGGCUAACUACGUGCCAGCAGCCGCGGUAAUACGUAGGUGGCAAGCGUUGUUCGGAAUAACUGGGCGUAAAGGAUGCGUAGGCGGUUAAAUAAGUUAUAUGUUAAAUAUAUAGGCUUAACCUGUAGAAAGCAUAUAAAACUGUUUAACUAGAGUGCAGGAGAGGUAAGUGGAAUUCCUAGUGUAGCGGUGAAAUGCGUAGAGAUUAGGAAGAACACCAGUGGCGAAGGCGACUUACUGGACUGU
Molecule: ribosomal RNA, 661 nt
Filed under: uncultured bacterium
Lineage: Bacteria
Description: bacterial SSU rRNA
Rfam family: Bacterial small subunit ribosomal RNA
Source: RNAcentral